CAGCUCUCCGAGUGGUAGGGAUGAUUAUUGGGCUUAAAGCGUCCGUAGCCGGCUUAGCAAGUCUCCUGUUAAAUUCAGCGACCUAAUCGUUGAGCCGCGGGAGAUACUACUAGGCUAGGAGGCGGGAGAGGUCGACGGUACUCUCGGGGUAGGGGUGAAAUCCUAUAAUCCCGGGAGGACCACCAGUGGCGAAGGCUGUUGACUAGAACGCGCUCGACGGUGAGGGACGAAAGCUGGGGGAGCGAACCGGAUUAGAUACCCGAGUAGUCC
RNAcentral lists this ribosomal RNA (270 nucleotides) under uncultured archaeon. RNAcentral describes it as "partial 16S ribosomal RNA". It matches the Rfam family "Archaeal small subunit ribosomal RNA", at positions 477 to 747 of the family's 1478-position model. The record is from RNAcentral.